Molecule: ribosomal RNA, 421 nt
Filed under: uncultured bacterium
Lineage: Bacteria
Description: partial 16S ribosomal RNA
Rfam family: Bacterial small subunit ribosomal RNA
Source: RNAcentral
UAUUUUUGACAAUGGGGGAGACCCUGAUCCAGCCAUCCCGCGUGUAAGAUGAAGGCCUUCUGUUUGUUAAGUACUUUUGGCAGAGAAGAAUGGUUGCCGCCAAAUACGAGAUCCUGCUGACGGUAUCUGCAGAAUAAGCACCGGCUAACUACGAGCCAGCAGCCGCGGUAAUACGUAGGGUUCAAGCGUGAAUCGCCAUUACUGGGCGUAAAGCGUGUGUAGUCGUUUCAGAAAGAAAGAUGUGAAAUCCCAGGGCUCAACCUUGGAACUGCAUUUUUAACUGCCGAGCUAGAGUAUGUCAGAGGGGGGUAGAAUUCCACGUGUAGCAGUGAAAUGCGUAGAUAUGUGGAGGAAUACCGAUGGCGAAGGCAGCCCCCUGGGAUAAUACUGACGCUCAGACACGAAAGCGUGGGGAGCAAAC